Molecule: long non-coding RNA, 1039 nt
Organism: Andrographis paniculata
Lineage: Eukaryota; Viridiplantae; Streptophyta; Magnoliopsida; Lamiales; Acanthaceae
Exons: 3
Source: RefSeq, a predicted model, not a curated record
GUUUCCUUCUCCUAUUUACAAGCUAGUCAUUCGAUGUCAGUGCUAACACUCUUUAGCUUCUGAUGAGCCAAUGCCCAGAUUCAUUUGAGAUUUCUUUGGGAACAAGGUUUCGAGAGUGCGAUAUCCUUCAAGGAUCAAACCUGCACGAUUGAAUUUUAAAGCUGAAGCAGACAUCUAUCCUUGUGAACCAGCGGUGAUGGCAAGCAGAACGGUGACUGCAAGCAAAGCGGCAUCAAUGUCUCUGUGUGCAAACGAAGCGGCGAAAACAAGCGGGGGAGAUGUGAGCGGGUCUGCAAGCGAAGCCAAUUUCAGGCAAGUGCAGCGAAGCGACGCAGACCAGCCCCUCCUGGCGAAACGAUGAAUUUAUUUUUCUUUAUUUUGGGCAAAAGUUCAUUUUGUUGACGGCGCCUACUAAGAAAAUUCCUAAACCAUAGUCUUGGGCUAGAGAGAUUUCAGAUUUCGAAUCAAUAGUCGGUAAUUCCAGGUAAGAAGAUUUUUAUUUGUAUAUUCUUUAUUCCCCAAAUUAUUUCUCUCUUCUCCCUUUUUCCAUCGUUCACCCAGUACUUUCUUCCCUAAAAUUUUCGCAAUUUCAGCCGUAGCUACUUAAGCCUUCAAUCUCUUCCUUCCUUCCGUCAUCUUCAUCACCUAAUUCUGAGAAAAAUCUAAAUUUCACACCCGAUUUUCUUUCAAUUUCGUCAAGCCCUAAUUCUUUUACCGCAAAUUCCCCCAAUUUCUUUACCGUAACCUCUUUUCUCCCACCUACGACGAUGAAGCCAACCACACCACUUGCUCCAAUUCUAGCUGCCUACGAAUCCACCGGUAAACAUCGGAAGAAAGGUUGUAUUAUUCAAUUUCACCUUCUCUUGCCUAUUUUCAUCGAAUUUCUUAAUUUCGAACAUAAUACUAAUAAUCUGAAAAUUUGCAGGGGCUGCUAUGGGAUGGAUUGUACCUCUUGUAAUUAUGUUAAUUAUGCUCCUUCUGAUAUUUAAUUUAGGAUUUAGUUGUGAUUGGAAUUAAAUUAUGUUGGAAUUUGGAUUUG